Non-coding RNA from Astyanax mexicanus (Mexican tetra), 513 nucleotides. Lineage: Eukaryota; Metazoa; Chordata; Actinopteri; Characiformes; Acestrorhamphidae. The record is from the annotation of a RefSeq genome assembly.
AUGCAGCACAUGGGUUAUGGGCUCUGCAUUCUGCUUGGACUAUUAUCCAGUCCGUCACACUGCGUCCUGAUUGAGCAGCCAGGGCAUGUGAUGGCAAAACUAGCAGAGGAGCAGGUAAAGAUCACCUGCCGCCACAACGACAGUAAUUUAGAUGUCAUGUUAUGGUACCAGCAAAAGAGGGACAGCUUGGCUGUGGCUUUGAUCGGUUAUAGCUAUGCCACCGCUACACCAAACCACGAGCCUGAAUUCACCAACCGCUUCAGACACACGAGGACCGGCACGCUAAACGGAGAUCUGACCAUCUCAAACCUCAACGCAUCAGACUCGGCUGUGUAUUACUGUGCAGUCAGAGCACACAGUGCUGCUGCUAGAUCACCCUCUUCACUUAAAACCCACAACACAGGAAACGCACCUGUAACGUCUGUGAACUUCAGUUUAAAGUGAAAGAAUGAGGUUUAAAACUUGAAAAUGAAACAUUUUGUCUGGUAAAAAAUGAUGUAAUAUUAUUUUAUG